Sorghum bicolor (sorghum) is the source of this 739-nucleotide long non-coding RNA. RefSeq lists it as uncharacterized. The transcript has 2 exons. Lineage: Eukaryota; Viridiplantae; Streptophyta; Magnoliopsida; Poales; Poaceae. The record is from RefSeq and is a predicted model, not a curated record.
ACUGUCAGUGGAUGCUGAAAGCCUGAAACAAUCUCACGAGGAGCAAGAGGUUAGGUAGUAGCGCCGUAGCGGUAAGCCACAUGCUCUAAGCCACCUUCUUAUAUACCACACACUAGAACGGGUGUAAGAACAAGCUAUACGCCUCCCUUACCUUAGCUACCUGCCAUCUUUUUCCCUUCCUUUUCAAAUUUCAGUUAGUGUUCAUUUCUGUGGGGAAGAAGAGGCGGCAGCGACAAUGGAUGAGCCUUCACAGAGCGAGGACAGGAAGCUGUCGGCCAUGGAGCAUGUCAAGAAGCGCCAUGAGGAGAAGGGCUUCCUCUAUGCCUGCGCCUUCAUGUUUUGCUGCUGCUUCUGCUGCUACGAGGCCUGCGAGCACUGCCUGGAGUGCUUCUGCUGCUGCGGCAAGAAGGACGAGUAAGGUCGGUUCAACCAACAAUUCCGCCGCCGCUUCAUCAUCAUAUGGAUUUGUUGUGGAAUGUGGAUUUGUUUCGGUUGUGAAGAACUGCGAUCAAUCUAUCGUCAAAAUAAAAACAUGCUGUAAAUAAAUGUGAUUGGUUGAAGCGUUAACUCUACGUUAACCAUAGUGAGCUAGCUAGCUAUCUAGCUACCCCAGUAUCUGGAGUGAGUCCAGUGAAACGCUGUACUUGCGACUGUAAAAUGUAAAUCUGUGAUUGCCACUGGUACUAUAUGUACGUUACAGUCCUUGUGUAUAUAUAAGGGUUUCUUGUGUUAUUGCUCU